Molecule: ribosomal RNA, 249 nt
Filed under: uncultured anaerobic ammonium-oxidizing bacterium
Lineage: Bacteria
Description: partial 16S ribosomal RNA
Rfam family: Bacterial small subunit ribosomal RNA
Source: RNAcentral
UGUCAGGAGUUAUGAAAUGCCGGUGGGGGAAAUCCUGUCGGUUUGACAAAGGCCUAGGAGGAAGCCACGGCUAACUUCGUGCCAGCAGCCGCGGUAAUACGAAGGUGGCAAGCGUUGUUCGGAAUCACUGGGCAUAAAGGGCGUGUAGGCGGUCUGGUAAGUCGGUAGUGAAAGCCCCCGGCUCAACCGGGGAAGUGCUACCGAUACUGUCAGACUCGAGUGCAGGAGGGGAGAGUGGAACUUCUGGUA